GGAUGAACGUUGGCGGCGUGCCUAAUACAUGCAAGUCGAACGAAGACUGUAGUAAUACUGUCUUAGUGGCGAACGGGUGAGUAACGCGUGGGUGACCUGCCCCGAAGUGUGGGAUAACAGUCCGAAAGGAUUGCUAAUACUGCAUAAUAUCCAAGAGAUUAGAUGCUUUUGGAUUAAAGGAGUAAUUCGCUUCGGGAGGGGCCCGCGUCCCAUCAGCUAGUUGGUAAGGUAAUGGCUUACCAAGGCGAUGACGGGUAGGGGACCUGAGAGGGUGGCCCCCCACAAUGGAACUGAAACACGGUCCAUACACCUACGGGUGGCAGCAGUAGGGAAUAUUAGUAAUGGGCGAAAGCCUGAACUAGCAACGCCGCGUGUGCGAAGAAGGCCUUCGGGUCGUAAAGCACUUUUUGAGAGGAUGAGGAAGGACGGUACUCUCAGAAUAAGUCUCGGCUAACUACGUGCCAGCAGCCGCGGUAACACGUAGGAGGCAAACGUUAUCCGGAUUUACUGGGCGUAAAGCGCGUGUAGGUGGUUUGGUAAGUAGGGCGUGAAAGCUCCUGGCUCAACUGGGAGAGGACGUUCUAAACUGCCAAGCUUGAGGAUGGUAGAGGGAGGUGGAAUUCCGGGUGUAGCGGUGGAAUGCGCAGAUAUCCGGAGGAACACCAGUGGCGAAGGCGGCCUCCUGGACCACUCCUGACACUCAGACGCGAAAGCUAGGGUAGCAAACGGGAUUAGAGACCCCGGUAGUCCUAGCCCUAAACGAUGUAGACNNNGCGUCGGUGGUUUAAUCGCCAUCGGUGUCGUAGCUAACGCGAUAAGUCUACCGCCUGGGGACUACGGCCGCAAGGUUAAAACUCAAAGGAAUUGACGGGGACCCGCACAAGCGGUGGAUGAUGUGGAUUAAUUCGAUGCAACGCGAAAAACCUUACCUACCCUUGACAUGUCUGGAACCUUGCUGAGAGGCGAGGGUGCCUUCGGGAGCCAGAACACAGGUGCUGCAUGGCUGUCGUCAGCUCGUGUCGUGAGAUGUUGGGUUAAGUCCCGCAACGAGCGCAACCCUUGUCACUAGUUGCCAUCAUUUGGUUGGGCACUCUAGUGAGACUGCCGGUGACAAACCGGAGGAAGGUGGGGAUGACGUCAAGUCCUCAUGGCCCUUAUGGGUAGGGCUUCACACGUCAUACAAUGGUCGGUACAGAGGGUUGCCAAGCCGCGAGGUGGAGCCAAUCCCUUAAAGCCGAUCGUAGUCCGGAUCGUAGUCUGCAACUCGACUACGUGAAGUCGGAAUCGCUAGUAAUCGCAGAUCAGCAUGCUGCGGUGAAUACGUUCCCGGGUCU
This 1334-nucleotide ribosomal RNA is filed under the name uncultured bacterium. RNAcentral describes it as "bacterial SSU rRNA". It matches the Rfam family "Bacterial small subunit ribosomal RNA", at positions 27 to 1381 of the family's 1533-position model. The record is from RNAcentral.